RNAcentral lists this long non-coding RNA (672 nucleotides) under Homo sapiens (human). RNAcentral's name for it is "long intergenic non-protein coding RNA 1893". The record is from RNAcentral. Lineage: Eukaryota; Metazoa; Chordata; Mammalia; Primates; Hominidae.
GAGCCAUCCACAUGCAAACCAAGGAAGGAGAGUGUGAGCUCCUGGCUGGAGAAUUCGCUCACAAGGGUGAUGUGAUCAUCUUACGUGUAAAAGAAAACCGAAUUUCACUUCUGGUGGUGACUAUUGUCUGAUUCAUCAUUACAGUAACCACCCAAGGAAACCCUGCCCACAAAAAGCAUUCUUCUGGAGAAGUAACAGUUUUUGGUGACACACAUGAUGGCAACAAUGAACGCUUUGUGGCACGAUGACCUCUAUGAAAAAGAGAGAUAUACAGGUUUUGCUUUUGUUCACUCAACUAAUUACCAACCUUUCAUUAUACCUCUACUCGGACAUCUAAACUUCAGUUAAGCUCUAUGUUUAAGUGGGAUGGAUCUUCAAUUUGCCUACCUAAGGGUAAGAUGUCUCUAAACGGCAUGCAAAAUAAUUUGGGAUUUGAAGUCAGGUUUACAGAGGCAUCAUUUUACAAUUAUCAACUUUGAUAAAUGCAGAUUGUCAUGGAACUACCACCAGAAUCCAGAUAGAGAACAUGCUAUCAUCCCUGUUAUAUCCCUUUGUGGCUAAUCCACCACACUGUUCCAUCCACCAAAGUCCCUAGAAGCCACUGAUCUGUUUUAUGUCCCUCUGGUUUUGUCUUUUUCAAAGUCUGAAAUAAAUGGAAUUGUGGAGUGUGUA